AGUGAACGCUGGCGGUAGGCCUAACACAUGCAAGUCGAACGGCAGCACAGUAAGAGCUUGCUCUUACGGGUGGCGAGUGGCGGACGGGUGAGGAAUACAUCGGAAUCUACUUUUUCGUGGGGGAUAACGUAGGGAAACUUACGCUAAUACCGCAUACGACCUACGGGUGAAAGCAGGGGAACUUCGGACCUUGCGCGAUUGAAUGAGCCGAUGUCGGAUUAGCUAGUUGGCGGGGUAAAGGCCCACCAAGGCGACGAUCCGUAGCUGGUCUGAGAGGAUGAUCAGCCACACUGGAGCUGAAACACGGUCCAGACUCCUACGGGAGGCAGCAGUGGGGAAUAUUGGACAAUGGGCGCAAGCCUGAUCCAGCCAUACCGCGUGGGUGAAGAAGGCCUUCGGGUUGUAAAGCCCUUUUGUUGGGAAAGAAAAGCAGCAGGUUAAUACCCCGCUGUUCUGACGGUACCCAAAGAAUAAGCACCGGCUAACUUCGUG
This 492-nucleotide ribosomal RNA is filed under the name uncultured bacterium. Its description in RNAcentral is "partial 16S ribosomal RNA". It matches the Rfam family "Bacterial small subunit ribosomal RNA", at positions 29 to 507 of the family's 1533-position model. The record is from RNAcentral.